CCUACGGGAGGCAGCAGUGAGGAAUAUUGGUCAAUGGCCGGAAGGCUGAACCAGCCAAGUCGCGUGAGGGACGACUGCCCUAUGGGUUGUAAACCUCUUUUAUAAGGGAAGAAUAAAUGCUACGUGUAGCAUGAUGCCUGUACCUUAUGAAUAAGCAUCGGCUAACCAUGUGGCAGCAGCCGCGGUAAUACGGAGGAUGCGAGCGUUAUCCGGAUUUAUUGGGUUUAAAGGGUGCGUAGGCGGUUUUUGAAGUUAGUGGUAAAACGUCGGGGCUUCACCUUGGUUUGCCAUUAAUACUGUAAGACUCGAGUUCAGACGAGGUAAGCGGAAUAAGUUAAGUAGCGGUGAAAUGCUUAGAUAUAACUUAGAACUCCGAUAGCGAAGGCAGCUUACCAGACUGCGACUGACGCUGAAGCACGAGAGCGUGGGUAGCGAACAGGAUUAGAUACCCGAGUAGUC
Molecule: ribosomal RNA, 459 nt
Filed under: uncultured bacterium
Lineage: Bacteria
Description: partial 16S ribosomal RNA
Rfam family: Bacterial small subunit ribosomal RNA
Source: RNAcentral